Molecule: ribosomal RNA, 116 nt
Filed under: Pteropus alecto (black flying fox)
Lineage: Eukaryota; Metazoa; Chordata; Mammalia; Chiroptera; Pteropodidae
Source: RNAcentral
GUCUACAGCCAUGCCACCCUGAAUAAGCCCGAUGUCUGAUCUUGGAAGCUAAGCAGGGUCGGGCCUGGUUAGUACUUGGAUGGGAGACCACCUAGGAAGACCAGGUGCUGUAGGCA